GCGAACGUUUGCGGCGGGCCUAACACAUGCAAGUCGAACGGUAGUCCCUUCGGGGACGAGAGUGGCGCACGGGUGCGUAACACGUGGGUAAUCUACCUAUCAGUUGGGGAUAACCUUGGGAAACCAGGGCUAAUACCCGGUACGACUCAGCGGGGUGCGCCCUGUUGAGAGAAAGACCCGCAAGGGUUGCUGAGAGAUGAGCUCGCGCCCCAUCAGCUAGUUGGAGAGGUAAUGGCUCACCAAGGCGAAGACGGGUAGCUGGUCUGAGAGGAUGAUCAGCCACACUGGAACUGAGACACGGUCCAGACUCCUACGGGAGGCAGCAGUGGGGAAUAUUGCGCAAUGGGCGAAAGCCUGACGCAGCCACGCCGCGUGAGCGAUGAAGGAUUUCGGUUCGUAAAGCUCUGUGGGGAGAGAAGAAGAAAGUUGGUGAAGAGCCAACCAUGACGGUAUCUCCUUAGCAAGCACCGGCUAACUCUGU
Molecule: ribosomal RNA, 481 nt
Filed under: uncultured bacterium
Lineage: Bacteria
Description: bacterial SSU rRNA
Rfam family: Bacterial small subunit ribosomal RNA
Source: RNAcentral